Molecule: non-coding RNA, 289 nt
Organism: Taeniopygia guttata (zebra finch)
Lineage: Eukaryota; Metazoa; Chordata; Aves; Passeriformes; Estrildidae
Source: RefSeq, a predicted model, not a curated record
AGAAAAUUCCUUCUGGGGACUUAGAAGCUGCUGCUGUGUGGAAACAUGCUGUGUGAACAACAGGCUGUGACCAACACAUUAACUUGACAUUUUCCUGCUAUUGGGGCAAUAACCAGAAGUGAACAUAGAAGGAGAAUAUGAAGGAGCAAUAACCAUGCUAAGAUAUUCCUGGAGAACAUCCUUGAUGACAUUCAGAUACAAGGACAAAUAUGCUCAAAUUGAAGCAGCUUCUGCAGGAACAUAGCCAUGUGCUGAUCAACAUAAUUUAAUAAAGUGAUUUGAAAUGUGG